CCGUACACAAAAGCGCAUGUGCUGUGAGCUCGAUGAGUAGGGCGGGACACGUGGUAUCCUGUCUGAAUAUGGGGGGACCAUCCUCCAAGGCUAAAUACUCCUGACUGACCGAUAGUGAACCAGUACCGUGAGGGAAAGGCGAAAAGAACCCCGGCGAGGGGAGUGAAAAAGAACCUGAAACCGUGUACGUACAAGCAGUGGGAGCCCCACCACUAAGCCAGUGGUGAACUCCACAUCCGCAUCCUUUGCUGAGGAUACGGUUAACGGAGCGAAAGCGACGUUCAACCGCAAAACAAGCAGAGGGGGCUUAGUGGUGGGGUGACUGCGUACCUUUUGUAUAAUGGGUCAGCGACUUAUAUUCUGUAGCAAGGUUAACCGAAUAGGGGAGCCGGAGGGAAACCGAGUCUUAAUUGGGCGUUAAGUUGCAGGGUAUAGACCCGAAACCCGGUGAUCUAGCCAUGGGCAGGUUGAAGGUUGGGUAACACUAACUGGAGGACCGAACCGACUAAUGUUGAAAAAUUAGCGGAUGACCUGUGGCUGGGGGUGAAAGGCCAAUCAAACCGGGAGAUAGCUGGUUCUCCCCGAAAGCUAUUUAGGUAGCGCCUCGUGAAUUCAUCUCCGGGGGUAGAGCACUGUUUCGGCUAGGGGGCCAUCCCGGCUUACCAACCCGAUGCAAACUGCGAAUACCGGAGAAUGUUAUCACGGGAGACACACGGCGGGUGCUAACGUCCGUCGUGAAGAGGGAAACAACCCAGACCGCCAGCUAAGGUCCCAAAGUCAUGGUUAAGUGGGAAACGAUGUGGGAAGGCCCAGACAGCCAGGAUGUUGGCUUAGAAGCAGCCAUCAUUUAAAGAAAGCGUAAUAGCUCACUGGUCGAGUCGGCCUGCGCGGAAGAUGUAACGGGGCUAAACCAUGCACCGAAGCUGCGGCAGCGAACGUAUCACCCAAGACAACUUUACGGAGUUGACGAUUGACGGAGCGAAGCGACGUCAAAGCGUUCAUUAAAGUCGAGUUGGCUUAGGGAUACGUUCGUUGGGUAGGGGAGCGUUCUGUAAGCCUGUGAAGGUGUGUCGUGAGGC
Molecule: ribosomal RNA, 1079 nt
Filed under: Salmonella enterica subsp. enterica serovar Typhimurium
Lineage: Bacteria; Pseudomonadati; Pseudomonadota; Gammaproteobacteria; Enterobacterales; Enterobacteriaceae
Description: partial 23S ribosomal RNA
Rfam family: Bacterial large subunit ribosomal RNA
Source: RNAcentral